GUACCUGUAGCUCAGUUGGAUAGAGCAACAGCCUUCUAAGCUGUGGGCCAGGGGUUCAAAUCCCUUCAGGUACGCCA
This 77-nucleotide transfer RNA is filed under the name Sneathia sanguinegens. Its description in RNAcentral is "tRNA-Arg". It matches the Rfam family "tRNA". From Rfam's summary of the family: Transfer RNA (tRNA) molecules are approximately 80 nucleotides in length. Their secondary structure includes four short double-helical elements and three loops (D, anti-codon, and T loops). Further hydrogen bonds mediate the characteristic L-shaped molecular structure. tRNAs have two regions of fundamental functional importance: the anti-codon, which is responsible for specific mRNA codon recognition, and the 3' end, to which the tRNAs corresponding amino acid is attached (by aminoacyl-tRNA synthetases). tRNAs cope with the degeneracy of the genetic code in two manners: having more than one tRNA (with a specific anti-codon) for a particular amino acid; and 'wobble' base-pairing, i.e. permitting non-standard base-pairing at the 3rd anti-codon position. RNAcentral also lists the same sequence under 3 other names. Lineage: Bacteria; Fusobacteriati; Fusobacteriota; Fusobacteriia; Fusobacteriales; Leptotrichiaceae. The record is from RNAcentral.